AUACGUAGGGUGCGAGCGUUGUCCGGAAUUACUGGGCGUAAAGAGCUCGUAGGUGGUUUGUCGCGUCGUCUGUGAAAUUCCGGGGCUUAACUCCGGGCGUGCAGGCGAUACGGGCGUAACUUGAGUACUGUAGGGGAGACUGGAAUUCUUGGUGUAGCGGUGAAAUGCGCAGAUAUCAGGAGGAACACCGGUGGCGAAGGCGGGUCUCUGGGCAGUAACUGACGCUGAGGAGCGAAAGCAUGGGUAGCGAACAGGAUGAGAUACCCUGGUUGUCCAGGCCGUAAACGGUGGGCGCCAGGUGUAGGGGUCUUCCACGACUUCUGUGCCGUAGCUAACGCAUUAAGCGCCCCGCCUGGGGAGUACGGCCGCAAGGCUAAAACUCAAAUGAAUUGACGGG
This 397-nucleotide ribosomal RNA is filed under the name uncultured bacterium. RNAcentral describes it as "partial 16S ribosomal RNA". It matches the Rfam family "Bacterial small subunit ribosomal RNA", at positions 523 to 917 of the family's 1533-position model. The record is from RNAcentral.